GCUUACAGCCAUACUAUCCAGGAAUAACCCGUUCUCCUCGGAUGUCGGAAGCUAUGCAGGGUUAGGCCUGGUUAGUGCUUAGGUGGGAGCCCUCUUGGGAAUACCAGGUGCUGUAAGCU
Ribosomal RNA from Oncorhynchus kisutch (coho salmon), 119 nucleotides. NCBI's taxonomy places the organism in Eukaryota, Metazoa, Chordata, Actinopteri, Salmoniformes, Salmonidae. The record is from Ensembl.